GGGGAAUCUUAGACAAUGGGCGUAAGCCUGAUCUAGCCAUGCCGCGUGAGCGAUGAAGGCCUUAGGGUUGUAAAGCUCUUUCAGUGGGGAAGAUAAUGACUGUACCCACAGAAAAGGCCCCGGCUAACUCCGUGCCAGCAGCUGCGGUAAUACGGAGGGGGCUAGCGUUGUUCGGAAUUACUGGGCGUAAAGCGCACGUAGGCGGACUGGAAAGUCAGGGGUGAAAUCCCGGGGCUCAACCCCGGAACUGCCUUUGAAACUCCCAGUCUUGAGGUCGAGAGAGGUGAGUGGAAUUCCGAGUGUAGAGGUGAAAUUCGUAGAUAUUUGGAGGAAUACCAGUGGCGAAGGCGGCUCACUGGCUCGAUACUGACGCUGAGGUGCGAAAGCGUGGGGAGCAAAC
RNAcentral lists this ribosomal RNA (400 nucleotides) under uncultured bacterium. RNAcentral describes it as "bacterial SSU rRNA". It matches the Rfam family "Bacterial small subunit ribosomal RNA", at positions 356 to 773 of the family's 1533-position model. The record is from RNAcentral.